This is a long non-coding RNA of Tympanuchus pallidicinctus (lesser prairie-chicken), 2496 nucleotides long. RefSeq lists it as uncharacterized. The transcript has 3 exons. The record is from RefSeq and is a predicted model, not a curated record. Lineage: Eukaryota; Metazoa; Chordata; Aves; Galliformes; Phasianidae.
AAAGCAAUCUCUUGCAUCAUUAUUAAAUUAUUGCCUCUGUCUUUGCCAGAAUUAUAUUUUGUCUUAAAAGUGAUGGUCGAAGCACAAAUACUGCUCAUGGAUUGGAAUUCAGAGGUAAAGUGUUUUGUUAAAUGGGUGGUAUGUACUUUAAGGCACUCAAGCCCUUCUUCAGAAUUCCAAGUACAAAAGCUUUCCCAGUUUUUCCAACGAUAUCAGUUUGAUAACAUCUACCGGUGAACCACGUUCUGCUCUGCUAGAAUUGGCAUAGGUUUAUCUGGAGAAAGAGUGAGCCUUGGUUUCCAGAAGUGCUGUCAGCUGACACACUGCUCUGGGUCUGUUCUCUGUUCUGGGGAAAAUAAUUAAGAAAACCUUGGUUUGCUCUUUAUUUUCAGUGGGAAAAGAAUGUCAGCUGCUAAUAUCUAUGUUUGCUGAAGUAAGACUUAAGGUAACCUCUAAUUCACGUAUAUGAUCAUUAAUAACAGUAUAAAAACAGUAAUAAUUGUUUGUGGUAACUAUGAUUGCAGCUGUCUGCAUCUACUGGGUAAAUAAUGCACAACUGCGUGAUAAAAUUAGGUAACUGUACUUGCACUGGGUUCAUAUGCUGUCACGUACAAAAAGGUAGGUAGAUGUUUGUUGCUUUCUGCAAAAGCAAAAUUGCUUCUUGCACAGUGAUAUAUAGUUAUGUUUGGUGCUUGUCUGUUCCCAAAGGUGAUGGUGCAGCUCUACACGUGUUCUGUCUCCUGUAGGAGCUAAAAGGUUGUUUUACUGCUCACUACUCUGUCUGCCUUUACAGUUCUCCAAAACACUGUCCACCUUUCUGCUAUUAAAAAAUCUGCAUUUGAUGCAUUCAGCCUCUCUAAAUUCACUUUUCUAUUAGUUUCUUAUAUAGCAUUUUGGUAUUAACAUUGUGGGUUACUCCUAAAAAAAGGCCUUCUACUUAUUUCCACGGAGGGUAGAAAAGAUACAAAGAGCACAAGAGCGCUUUGAUAGAGCAACUUCUCAGAUAUGAAGUACUGUUUUUCAGUGUAGUCACAAUCAUCAGCUGAUUUGUGCAGCUGUCCAGAGGGUGGCUUGUCUGUCACCACUGCUGGUCUCCAUAAGGGUUCAGCAAGGAUUGUUAGAUAUCAGUGGGUGCAAGCUUCAAGACAUGCAGUUUUCAACUCCACACUUUGCUCCAUAUGCUCUUCCAUGUCAGGUGCUGUUUUUCAGACUGCUCCUCUGCUGCCAUCUGACACAUGGCAACAAUGUGGGAUGGAAUGGAAUAUUGGUGGGAAGCUUCAACCUCUGUUGCCAUACUGCCAGCAUUCAUUGGUUGUGAGCCAUUAUAAUAAAAUGGCAGGCAUUACUUUCAGUGCAGCCCUCAUACACCUCUGCUGGACAAUCCACAUUAUAGGACAGAUCUCUGCAGAACUGUAUUGGCAUCUUUCCUCCACUGCAGGAGUUAACCAUUAACUCACCCCUACCCACUCAGUCCCUUUCAUAUUUAUUAAUAAUUGAUCAGGCUUUACUAAUUAAGUCGUUCUUUCAAGCCUAAAGCUUCUUUUAAAAGUGCCUGAGACAUAAUUAGAAGCCCUUUGGAAAUCUGUGUCUUUAAUCAUCUGUGCUUUGCAAUCCACCCAUUGUGAUACUGGAGCUCCUUUUUUCUUCAGCUGAGAUUGCUUCCAUCCAAGAUGUUGGGAGACUACCACUGAGUAGGCAUUUCAGCAGCCACUCUGACUGAAACAUAUGCAAGUCUUCUUCAUCAUUAUCAAUAUAAACUUCCUCCAUGCUGAUUAUACUCUUGUUCAGUUUAAAUGGAAAACAAAAAGCCUGAACUCUGACCUCACCAAAUGUAUUACAAGACAACCUCAUACACUACCUUUUUUGAUAUUAAAAAACGUUAACAACAACCACAUUCUGCUGUGCUGGUCCCACCACAGCAAUUACACUUUCAUACAUGCUAUGUUGCUUGUGGUCCUUUUUUGCUGCCAAAUAACAAAGUCUUGCAAGGGAAGGGGCACAGGACAGGUUGUAUCUACAAGGAGGAAGCUGCUAUCUGUGUCUCUCAGCAUGCAAGCACAGCAGUAAAAUCAGUAACUCUGUAUGGCCAUCCUUACUCUUUCCCUCUUUGGAGUUAAGAACGGGCUUACGCUAGCCCAGCUACAACAAACAACUACACCAAAGCAUAGGAUAUAGGAGCUACAACUCCACCACAGCAGGGAUUGAUAUAAACUUAUUUGAAAGAAAAAAAAAUAAAAAAAAAUUGUAUGAUAAAAAGCUCCUCACACAAUCUCAGAACAAAUACAAUUCUCCUUCCCACUGUUCACUGUUUAUAGUAUCAUGAUGAGCUAUUUCUCAUUACUCAGAUUGCCUUCUAUCAUCUAUUCAGUGAUGAUUUCCACAUUUCCUUUAAGUGUGAUUAUAUUUAUUUGUAUUUCCAGAGUAAGAGGCUUGGCUUCCACUUUCAAUUUCAGAUAUUAAAGUUUAUGAGAAAACUAAAAACCAUGCAAGCUCUAA